Molecule: non-coding RNA, 755 nt
Filed under: Tryonicus parvus
Lineage: Eukaryota; Metazoa; Arthropoda; Insecta; Blattodea; Tryonicidae
Source: RNAcentral
AAUAAGUUUUAUUCUUGCUUAAUUAUUCAUUUUUUGAUUAUUUUAUAUGUGAACUUUUGUCUAAUCUAUAUGAUUUUUAUUCAGUAUUGGGUAUUAAAAAUUAAGGGUACUUAGAUUUGGUUAUUCAUAUUUUAAUUGGUUAAAUUUGUGCCAGCAUCCGCGGUUAUACAAUGGAUUAUUGUGAAUAUUUUUGGUUUAAUAGUUAAUUAAUUAUGGAGGGGGACUUAGAUUAAAUUGUUAGGUGAAAUUUUAAUUUUUUAGUGUUUUUUUUUCUUUUGAUGAGGCUAUGAAAUCCAUAUACUAAAUUAGGAUUAGAUACCCUAUUAUUUUGGAUGUUAAAUUUGUUAUUAGAGUAGUAUUAGUUAUGGCCUUGAAACUUAAAGAAUUUGGCGGUAUUAUAGUCCUUUUAGAGGAAUCUGUCCCUUUAUCGAUAAUCCGCGUUGAACCUUACUAAUUUAUUGUUUGUAUACCGCCGUUAAUCUGAAUAUUCUUAUAGGAUAUUUUCUUAUCUUUUGUUAUUAUUUUAUUUCAGGUCAAGGUGCAGCUUAUUAAUUAGUGGAGAUGGAUUACACUUUAUUUUCUUAUUGGAUUGCUUAUUGAAAUAUGGUUAUUAAAUUGGAUUUAAUAGUAAUGUUAUAUAGAUUAUUAACAUGAUUUUGGCUCUAUGAUAUGUACAUAUCGCCCGUCACUCUCGUUAUUAAAGUUGAGAUAAGUCGUAACAUAGUGGUUGUACCGGAAGGUGUAGCUGGAAUGAU